RNAcentral lists this ribosomal RNA (2933 nucleotides) under Enterobacter cloacae. Its description in RNAcentral is "bacterial LSU rRNA". It matches the Rfam family "Bacterial large subunit ribosomal RNA". Lineage: Bacteria; Pseudomonadati; Pseudomonadota; Gammaproteobacteria; Enterobacterales; Enterobacteriaceae. The record is from RNAcentral.
GGGUUGUGAGGUUAAGCGACUAAGCGUACACGGUGGAUGCCCUGGCAGUCAGAGGCGAUGAAGGACGUGCUAAUCUGCGAAAAGCGCCGGCGAGGUGAUAUGAACCUUUGACCCGGCGAUGUCCGAAUGGGGAAACCCAGUGUGAUUCGUCACACUAUCGUUAACUGAAUACAUAGGUUAACGAGGCGAACCGGGGGAACUGAAACAUCUAAGUACCCCGAGGAAAAGAAAUCAACCGAGAUUCCCCCAGUAGCGGCGAGCGAACGGGGAGCAGCCCAGAGUCUGAAUCAGCUUGUGUGUUAGUGGAAGCGUCUGGAAAGUCGCACGGUACAGGGUGACAGUCCCGUACACGAAAAUGCACAGGUUGUGAACUCGAAGAGUAGGGCGGGACACGUGGUAUCCUGUCUGAAUAUGGGGGGACCAUCCUCCAAGGCUAAAUACUCCUGACUGACCGAUAGUGAACCAGUACCGUGAGGGAAAGGCGAAAAGAACCCCGGCGAGGGGAGUGAAAAAGAACCUGAAACCGUGUACGUACAAGCAGUGGGAGCACCUUCGUGGUGUGACUGCGUACCUUUUGUAUAAUGGGUCAGCGACUUAUAUUCUGUAGCAAGGUUAACCGUAUAGGGGAGCCGAAGGGAAACCGAGUCUUAACUGGGCGUUAAGUUGCAGGGUAUAGACCCGAAACCCGGUGAUCUAGCCAUGGGCAGGUUGAAGGUUGGGUAACACUAACUGGAGGACCGAACCGACUAAUGUUGAAAAAUUAGCGGAUGACUUGUGGCUGGGGGUGAAAGGCCAAUCAAACCGGGAGAUAGCUGGUUCUCCCCGAAAGCUAUUUAGGUAGCGCCUCGUGAACUCAUCUUCGGGGGUAGAGCACUGUUUCGGCUAGGGGGCCAUCCCGGCUUACCAACCCGAUGCAAACUACGAAUACCGAAGAAUGUUAUCACGGGAGACACACGGCGGGUGCUAACGUCCGUCGUGAAGAGGGAAACAACCCAGACCGCCAGCUAAGGUCCCAAAGUCAUGGUUAAGUGGGAAACGAUGUGGGAAGGCACAGACAGCCAGGAUGUUGGCUUAGAAGCAGCCAUCAUUUAAAGAAAGCGUAAUAGCUCACUGGUCGAGUCGGCCUGCGCGGAAGAUGUAACGGGGCUAAACCAUGCACCGAAGCUGCGGCAGCGACGCUUAUGCGUUGUUGGGUAGGGGAGCGUUCUGUAAGCCGUUGAAGGUGGCCUGUGAGGGUUGCUGGAGGUAUCAGAAGUGCGAAUGCUGACAUAAGUAACGAUAAAGCGGGUGAAAAGCCCGCUCGCCGGAAGACCAAGGGUUCCUGUCCAACGUUAAUCGGGGCAGGGUGAGUCGACCCCUAAGGCGAGGCCGAAAGGCGUAGUCGAUGGGAAACAGGUUAAUAUUCCUGUACUUGGUGUUACUGCGAAGGGGGGACGGAGAAGGCUAUGUUAGCCGGGCGACGGUUGUCCCGGUUUAAGCAUGUAGGCGGAACGAUUAGGUAAAUCCGGUCGUUUAUUAACGCUGAGGUGUGAUGACGAGGCACUACGGUGCUGAAGUAACAAAUGCCCUGCUUCCAGGAAAAGCCUCUAAGCAUCAGGUAACAUCAAAUCGUACCCCAAACCGACACAGGUGGUCAGGUAGAGAAUACCAAGGCGCUUGAGAGAACUCGGGUGAAGGAACUAGGCAAAAUGGUGCCGUAACUUCGGGAGAAGGCACGCUGAUAUGUAGGUGAAGCCCCUGCGGGUGGAGCUGAAAUCAGUCGAAGAUACCAGCUGGCUGCAACUGUUUAUUAAAAACACAGCACUGUGCAAACACGAAAGUGGACGUAUACGGUGUGACGCCUGCCCGGUGCCGGAAGGUUAAUUGAUGGGGUUAGCGGCAACGCGAAGCUCUUGAUCGAAGCCCCGGUAAACGGCGGCCGUAACUAUAACGGUCCUAAGGUAGCGAAAUUCCUUGUCGGGUAAGUUCCGACCUGCACGAAUGGCGUAAUGAUGGCCAGGCUGUCUCCACCCGAGACUCAGUGAAAUUGAACUCGCUGUGAAGAUGCAGUGUACCCGCGGCAAGACGGAAAGACCCCGUGAACCUUUACUAUAGCUUGACACUGAACACUGGUCCUUGAUGUGUAGGAUAGGUGGGAGGCUUUGAAGUGUGGACGCCAGUCUGCAUGGAGCCGUCCUUGAAAUACCACCCUUUAAUGGCUGGUGUUCUAACGUAGACCCGUAAUCCGGGUUGCGGACAGUGUCUGGUGGGUAGUUUGACUGGGGCGGUCUCCUCCCAAAGAGUAACGGAGGAGCACGAAGGUUAGCUAAUCCUGGUCGGACAUCAGGAGGUUAGUGCAAUGGCAUAAGCUAGCUUGACUGCGAGAGUGACGGCUCGAGCAGGUGCGAAAGCAGGUCAUAGUGAUCCGGUGGUUCUGAAUGGAAGGGCCAUCGCUCAACGGAUAAAAGGUACUCCGGGGAUAACAGGCUGAUACCGCCCAAGAGUUCAUAUCGACGGCGGUGUUUGGCACCUCGAUGUCGGCUCAUCACAUCCUGGGGCUGAAGUAGGUCCCAAGGGUAUGGCUGUUCGCCAUUUAAAGUGGUACGCGAGCUGGGUUUAGAACGUCGUGAGACAGUUCGGUCCCUAUCUGCCGUGGGCGCUGGAGAAUUGAGGGGGGCUGCUCCUAGUACGAGAGGACCGGAGUGGACGCAUCACUGGUGUUCGGGUUGUCAUGCCAAUGGCACUGCCCGGUAGCUAAAUGCGGAAAAGAUAAGUGCUGAAAGCAUCUAAGCACGAAACUUGCCCCGAGAUGAGUUCUCCCUGAGACUUUAAGUCUCCUGAAGGAACGUUGAAGACGACGACGUUGAUAGGUCGGGUGUGUAAGCGCAGCGAUGCGUUGAGCUAACCGAUACUAAUGAACCGUGAGGCUUAACCUUACAACGCCGAAGGUGUUU